Small nuclear RNA from Sciurus carolinensis (gray squirrel), 107 nucleotides. The record is from RefSeq and is a predicted model, not a curated record. Lineage: Eukaryota; Metazoa; Chordata; Mammalia; Rodentia; Sciuridae.
GUGCUUGCUUUAGCAGCACAUAUGCUAAAAUUGGAACAGUGCAGAAAAGAGUAGCAUGGCCCCUGUGCAAGGAUGACACAAAAAUUCAUGAAGCAUUUGAUAUUUAA